RNAcentral lists this unclassified non-coding RNA (424 nucleotides) under fungal sp. Its description in RNAcentral is "partial internal transcribed spacer region". The stretch from base 1 to 46 matches the Rfam family "Eukaryotic small subunit ribosomal RNA", at positions 1786 to 1831 of the family's 1831-position model. Lineage: Eukaryota; Fungi. The record is from RNAcentral.
AAGUCGUAACAAGGUUUCCGUAGGUGAACCUGCGGAAGGAUCAUUACAAGCACACACUCCCGGCCAGUUUUUUGACCGAGGGUGUUUAGUAAAAAAGGGGUAAGGGAAGGGAAAAAAAAAAGGGAGUACUUCCACUUGCGCAGUGAUUGGGGGGGGAGGUUAAAUCUCGACGACAGAUUUUUCCUUCCCGGGGAAGUGACCGAACUGCUCUCCUUCCUAAAAACAGCUCCCCUGCGCUCGUGGCUCGCUUUUUGGAAACCCUUCCCUCUCCCUUUAAUACUUAUAAACCCCCCACCGUGCACUUAUUGAAAAGACUUCCCAAUCAAAUUUUUUUUUGAUUGACCUAUUUGCCUGAUUAUUUUGACUGAACUUACAAAAAAAUAAAAUUUAAAUACAACUUUCAACAACGGAUCUCUUGGCUCUC